This 807-nucleotide ribosomal RNA is filed under the name uncultured bacterium. Its description in RNAcentral is "bacterial SSU rRNA". It matches the Rfam family "Bacterial small subunit ribosomal RNA", at positions 42 to 845 of the family's 1533-position model. The record is from RNAcentral.
GCAAGCUUUACACAUGCAAGUCGAACGGGCUUGGGGGCUUGCUCCCGGGUUAGUGGCGAACGGGUGAGUAAUAUAUCGGAACAUAUCCGGAAGUGGGGGAUAACGUAGCGAAAGUUACGCUAAUACCGCAUAUGCCCUGAGGGGGAAAGGGGGGGAUCGCAAGACCUCUCGCUUUCGGAGUGGCCGAUACCGGAUUAGCUAGAUGGUGAGGUAAAGGCUCACCAUGGCGACGAUCCGUAGCUGGUCUGAGAGGACGACCAGCCACACUGGAACUGAGACACGGUCCAGACUCCUACGGGAGGCAGCAGUGGGGAAUUUUGGACAAUGGGCGAAAGCCUGAUCCAGCCAUACCGCGUGAGUGAAGAAGGCCUUCGGGUUGUAAAGCUCUUUCAGCCGGAAAGAAAUCGCACUUUUUAAUACGGAGUGUGGAUGACGGUACCGGAAGAAGAAGCACCGGCUAACUACGUGCCAGCAGCCGCGGUAAUACGUAGGGUGCGAGCGUUAAUCGGAAUUACUGGGCGUAAAGCGUGCGCAGGCGGUUUGAUAAGCCAGAUGUGAAAUCCCCGGGCUUAACCUGGGAACUGCAUUUGGAACUGUCAGACUAGAGUGUAGCAGAGGGGGGUAGAAUUCCACGUGUAGCAGUGAAAUGCGUAGAUAUGUGGAGGAAUACCAAUGGCGAAGGCAGCCCCCUGGGUUAACACUGACGCUCAUGCACGAAAGCGUGGGGAGCAAACAGGAUUAGAUACCCUGGUAGUCCACGCCCUAAACGAUGUCAACUAGUUGUUGGGGGAGGAGACUUCCUUAGUA